This 490-nucleotide ribosomal RNA is filed under the name uncultured bacterium. RNAcentral describes it as "partial 16S ribosomal RNA". It matches the Rfam family "Bacterial small subunit ribosomal RNA", at positions 30 to 507 of the family's 1533-position model. The record is from RNAcentral.
AUUGAACGCUGGCGGCAGGCCUAACACAUGCAAGUCGAACGGUAACAGGAAGCAUCUUGCUGCUUUGCUGACGAGUGGCGGACGGGUGAGUAAUGUCUGGGAAACUGCCCGAUGGAGGGGGAUAACUACUGGAAACGGUAGCUAAUACCGCAUAACGUCGCAAGACCAAAGAGGGGGACCUUAGGGCCUCUUGCCAUCGGAUGUGCCCAGAUGGGAUUAGCUAGUAGGUGGGGUAACGGCUCACCUAGGCGACGAGCCCUAGCUGGUCUGAGAGGAUGACCAGCCACACUGGAACUGAGACACGGUCCAGACUCCUACGGGAGGCAGCAGUGGGGAAUGUUGCACAACGGGCGCAAGCCUGAUGCAGCCAUGCCGCGUGUAUGAAGAAGGCCUUCGGGUUGUAAAGUACUUUCAGCGGGGAGGAAGGGAGUACAGUUAAUACCUUUGCUCAUUGACGUUACCCGCAGAAGAAGCACCGGCUAACUCCGUG